CCCUGCCAUUUGUACACACCGCCCGUCGCAUCAAUCGAUUGUACAUCUCGGUGAAUGAUUCGGAUCGAGUCGUUGCUAGCAAUAGCAUUGAUUUGAGAAGUCUUGUAAACCCAGAUCUAUAGAGAAUG
RNAcentral lists this ribosomal RNA (128 nucleotides) under uncultured eukaryote. RNAcentral's name for it is "partial small subunit ribosomal RNA". It matches the Rfam family "Eukaryotic small subunit ribosomal RNA", at positions 1651 to 1782 of the family's 1831-position model. The record is from RNAcentral.